This 85-nucleotide ribosomal RNA is filed under the name Clostridium paraputrificum. Its description in RNAcentral is "partial 16S ribosomal RNA". It matches the Rfam family "Bacterial small subunit ribosomal RNA", at positions 1 to 83 of the family's 1533-position model. Lineage: Bacteria; Bacillati; Bacillota; Clostridia; Eubacteriales; Clostridiaceae. The record is from RNAcentral.
UUUUUAUUGAGAGUUUGAUCCUGGCUCAGGACGAACGCUGGCGGCGUGCCUAACACAUGCAAGUCGAGCGAUGAAGUUCCUUCGG